This is a small nucleolar RNA of Oncorhynchus kisutch (coho salmon), 71 nucleotides long. Its record names the gene SNORD58. It matches the Rfam family "Small nucleolar RNA SNORD58". Rfam says of the family: snoRNA U58 is found in introns 1, 3 and 6 of the ribosomal protein RPL17 gene in humans. U58 is a member of the C/D class of snoRNA which contain C (UGAUGA) and D (CUGA) box motifs. Lineage: Eukaryota; Metazoa; Chordata; Actinopteri; Salmoniformes; Salmonidae. The record is from Ensembl.
UUGCAAUGAUGACUUUCUUAGGACACCUUUUGGAUUACCCAUGAAAAGAAAUGUGAACGAGGCUGAGCAAC